Long non-coding RNA from Hylaeus anthracinus, 407 nucleotides. RefSeq lists it as uncharacterized. Lineage: Eukaryota; Metazoa; Arthropoda; Insecta; Hymenoptera; Colletidae. The transcript has 2 exons. The record is from RefSeq and is a predicted model, not a curated record.
GACGUAGAAUCGAUCGAUACUCGGCACGUGCUCGUUCCACGCGGAAGGCGGAAUGUUUAGUAAUUCAAUUUGCAACAUAUUUAUCGGAACGAUAUAAAUGUUAUGUUUGGUGCGCGUGCAUUGUCCGUUACGGCAAAAUUUUCUAAUACGGUGGGAGGCAACAAAGAACAAGCGUGACUGAAUGACGUGGAAAAGGAUGCUGCAAACGUGAACUUCGAUCGCGCCUGUUUCAGAUGAUAAGAGUGGCAAUAACAGAUUUCGUCUACCAAUUGUGAAUCAAGAGUUGGAUACUUACGCUUUGAAACCACCAAGAACAGUAAAUCCGACAGGUACAUUUUACUGUGCGAGGUUUCUCGAUUACUCAGCGAAGAAAGCAUGGCAUAGAUUUUCCGAGAACAGAACCAAAG